AUUGAACGCUGGCGGCAGGCUUAACACAUGCAAGUAGAGCGAGCGGCGGACGGGUGAGUAAUGUAUGGAAAACUGCCUGAUGGAGGGGGAUAACUACUGGAAACGGUAGCUAAUACCGCAUACCAUAAGAUGUGCCCAGAUGGGAUUAGCUAGUAGGUGGGGUAAGGGCUCACCUAGGCGACGAUCCCUAGCUGGUCUGAGAGGAGGACCAGCCAAAUGGGAAUUGAGACACGGUCCAGAUUCCUACGUGAGGCAGCAGUGGGGAAGAUUGCACAAUGGGCGCAAUCCUGAUGCAGCCAUGCCGGGUGUGUGAAGAAGGCCUCCGGGUUUUAAAGCACUUUCAGCGAGGAGGCGUUACUCGCAGAAGAAGCACCGGCUAACUCCGUGCCAGCAGCCGCGGUAAUUC
Molecule: ribosomal RNA, 406 nt
Filed under: uncultured bacterium
Lineage: Bacteria
Description: partial 16S ribosomal RNA
Rfam family: Bacterial small subunit ribosomal RNA
Source: RNAcentral